RNAcentral lists this long non-coding RNA (1751 nucleotides) under Mus musculus (house mouse). RNAcentral's name for it is "long non-coding RNA chr2:75871950-75873701". The record is from RNAcentral. Lineage: Eukaryota; Metazoa; Chordata; Mammalia; Rodentia; Muridae.
UUUUUUUUUUAACCCCCCUGACUAUUCUGAAUCCCUUGCAAUUCCAUAUAAAAGAAAGAAGUUAGACCCAAGCUCACAUCGUAUUUAUUUUAUUUGUUUAACUUGGAGUCUCUGUGAAAACCAGAGUCCAGGAAGGAGACAAUUAUGGGGAAUACUCUUAAGUAAGGCUAACAUCUGGUCUUCCAAACUCUUACUAGAAUCAUCCGUUAAGUCUUGUUUAUGGCAUUCUAGGACCUCUCUAAACUACCACUUCACACUCUUCCAUGUUCUUCUCACAAACCAUAUCCAAGAGCCCGAGAACCACAUGGUCAAGUAUAGCAAAACCCCAUUCCUGAUGCCAGUUUGUUGUCUGGUUACCUUUUUAUCAUCUUGACUAAAUACCAGGCACAACAUUACUUGUGGGAGGAACCAUUUGUAUUGGUCACAGGGCUGGGGAGAGGGGGUUGUGGUAAUGGCAGUGACUUGAAGUCCUGGUGCCAGGAACAUGGGACUUCUUGAUCAUAUUGCCAUAGACCAAGAAGUAGAAGGCUUGGGUAGAAGUAGGGUCAUUCUGUAACUCUCACUGCUUAGAUCCUGAAGGUUCCACAGACUCCUAAACAGCGCCUCAACAGGUAGAGACCAGGGGUUUAGACACAUAGCCUUUGGGGGUAUUUUAUUUAAUAGGAACAUAUUUUAUAUUAGGGAAGGCUUUGGAAAUCUGCUCAGGUUUAUUGUAUCGCCUAGUUUGUGGUCUGUCCUGAAGAAUACUGUGUGUAUACCUGAAAUGAAUUUACGAUCUGCUAUUGCUGAAUGGUAUGUUUUAGUCUAUGAAUGAGGGCAAAUUUACUUAAAUCAUUGUUCAGUCUUACCUUUGCUUAGUUCUUAAAUCAUUGAAAAUGGGGUUUUGAGGUUUCCAAGUAUUCAUUAUCCAUUUCAUUUGUAUCAGUUUCUGUCGUAUAUUUUCACUUCCUGUUAUCAGCACCAUCUUUUAAUAAUUGUGUGUCUUCCCAGUUAUUUAUCAUUUCCAAGUGUUCCUCACUGUGUAGUAUCAUUCUGUUUAAGUCAGUCUUGUCUGCUAUUAGUACUGUGUCUGCAUGGCACACCUUUACCAUAUUUGAGUCUAGGUGUAUUUGAAAGUGUGUCUCUUGAAACAACCAUGCAUUUCAAUUAUUUUCAAUAGUGCUUCUCAACCUUCAUAGUGUUGUGACCCUUUAAUACAGUUCUUUAUGUUGUGACCCCCCCAACCAUACAAUUAUUUUCAUUGCUACUUCAUAACUUUAAUUUUGCUAUGAUAUGAAUCAUGAAUGAAAAUAUCUGUGUUUUCUAGUCAUCUUAGGUGACACCUGUGAAAGUUGUUAGCCCCCAACAAGCUUGCUACCUUUGGGUUAGGAACUGCUGAUGUAUUGGGUACUGUUAGAGGAAAUUUUCAGCUAUUUUUUAAAAUAAUUGUUCUGCUCCAUGUUUUGUCUCUGCUCUAACAGUACUUUCAUUAUUUAUCUAGUAUUGUAAUUAAAGGGUUUUGAUGUUUUUCAGAGACAUUGUUAGUUUUUUCUUUGUUUUUCUCUCUAUUCUUUUUAUAGCACAAUGUGUCACAAUCUCUGUCAGUCAGUCUUCAAGUUUGAUACUCCAUUUUCUGCCAGAUCACAUGUUGGGCAGUUUGGUUUUUUUUUUUUUAACUUCUUAUUGAUUCUUUGUGAAUUUCACAUCAUGCAAUCCCACUCAUCUCUCGGUCCCUUUGUAUCUGCCAUCUGCCCUUGCAAUCUCCCCUACCC